RNAcentral lists this non-coding RNA (207 nucleotides) under Rhodoferax fermentans. The record is from RNAcentral. Lineage: Bacteria; Pseudomonadati; Pseudomonadota; Betaproteobacteria; Burkholderiales; Comamonadaceae.
AAACUGAUUUGGCCUCAGGGUUUCUUGCCCAACAGCAAGAAUGAAAAGGGAACGACAGAAGGGUUGUGACACAACCCAUUCUGUGGCUGCCCCCGCAACUGUGAUCGGCGAGUUUGAAGUUCAUCAUGUCACUGGCUUAACGCUGGGAAGACAGACCUCAAACAAGGACCCGAGAGCCAGGAGACCUGCCUUGAGGUGAUUGACCUA